CUUUAGAACACAAGCCUUUCCAGGGUUAUUAACCAUGCUAUAUAGUCAGCUCUGACUAACAGUUAUCAGUGUGAUGGCUUUCGCACUGUUGAACAAGGAGAUCCUUCCUCCAGAUGUGAUAGAGACAAGAUGACUUGGGGUGUGGAAGCCAAAAAGCUAUGGCAGAACCAUCCUGAUCCCUUGAUGGCAAGCAGUCUAUCCAGAAAGAAAGUUGUGGAUGCCUGACAGAAACCUGUUGCUGUCCACAACAUACGACAGGAAAGAGCAGGAAGGAGCUCAUGACAGAGACACAAAAAGGAUCCGAGGUUAGGAUGGAAGUUGAAGCACCUGGAAGCCAGAGCUCCAAGCCCACAACAAUUCAACCAAAAUCUCUGGGGAUGUAUCCCAGACAGUGUUUGCAAAGAAGUUUCUCCAGGUGAUUCAAAUUGUGCUGAUGGAGUAUGGAGAUACCUCAGAGAACUAGGACUAGAGGUUCCAUUUGAC
RNAcentral lists this long non-coding RNA (483 nucleotides) under Heterocephalus glaber (naked mole-rat). RNAcentral's name for it is "lncRNA (ENSHGLG00100049319.1)". The record is from RNAcentral. Lineage: Eukaryota; Metazoa; Chordata; Mammalia; Rodentia; Bathyergidae.